GAUGAACGCUGGCGGCGUGCCUAAUACAUGCAAGUCGAGCGAACAGACGAGGAGCUUGCUCCUCUGACGUUAGCGGCGGACGGGUGAGUAACAUGUGGAUAACCUACCUAUAAGACUGGGAUAACUUCGGGAAACCGGAGCUAAUACCGGAUAAUAUAUUGAACCGCAUGGUUCAAUAGUGAAAGACGGUUUUGCUGUCACUUAUAGAUGGAUCCGCGCCGCAUUAGCUAGUUGGUAAGGUAACGGCUUACCAAGGCAACGAUGCGUAGCCGACCUGAGAGGGUGAUCGGCCACACUGGAACUGAGACACGGUCCAGACUCCUACGGGAGGCAGCAGUAGGGAAUCUGCCGCAAUGGGCGAAAGCCUGACGGAGCAACGCCGCGUGAGUGAUGAAGGUCUUCGGAUCGUAAAACUCUGUUAUUAGGGAAGAACAAAUGUGUAAGUAACUAUGCACGUCUUGACGGUACCUAAUCAGAAAGCCACGGCUAACUACGU
Molecule: ribosomal RNA, 496 nt
Filed under: uncultured bacterium
Lineage: Bacteria
Description: partial 16S ribosomal RNA
Rfam family: Bacterial small subunit ribosomal RNA
Source: RNAcentral